CGAGAUUCCCCCAGUAGCGGCGAGCGAACGGGGAGCAGCCCAGAGCCUGAAUCAGUGUGUGUGUUAGUGGAAGCGUCUGGAAAGGCGUGCGAUACAGGGUGACAGCCCCGUACACAAAAAUGCACAUGCUGUGAGCUCGAUGAGUAGGGCGGGACACGUGGUAUCCUGUCUGAAUAUGGGGGGACCAUCCUCCAAGGCUAAAUACUCCUGACUGA
Molecule: ribosomal RNA, 215 nt
Filed under: Escherichia coli
Lineage: Bacteria; Pseudomonadati; Pseudomonadota; Gammaproteobacteria; Enterobacterales; Enterobacteriaceae
Also listed under: 1 other name
Description: partial 23S ribosomal RNA
Rfam family: Bacterial large subunit ribosomal RNA
Source: RNAcentral